Molecule: ribosomal RNA, 253 nt
Filed under: uncultured bacterium
Lineage: Bacteria
Description: partial 16S ribosomal RNA
Rfam family: Bacterial small subunit ribosomal RNA
Source: RNAcentral
UACGUAGGGGGCGAGCGUUGUCCGAAGUUACUGGGCGUAAAGAGCGCGUAGGCGGGUCUUUAAGUGAGAGGUGAAAGGUUCAGGGCUCAACCCGGACACUGCCUUUCAUACUGGAGACCUUGAGUGCGGGAGAGGCGAGUGGAAUGGCCGGUGUAGCGGUGAAAUGCGUAGAUAUCGGUCGGAACACCCAUGGCGAAGGCAGCUCGCUGGUCCGCAACUGACGCUGAGGCGCGAAAGCGUGGGGAGCAAACAG